Molecule: ribosomal RNA, 581 nt
Filed under: Cladosporium sp. CBG_III3CCH
Lineage: Eukaryota; Fungi; Ascomycota; Dothideomycetes; Cladosporiales; Cladosporiaceae
Description: eukaryotic LSU rRNA
Rfam family: Eukaryotic large subunit ribosomal RNA
Source: RNAcentral
AACAGGGAUUGCUCUAGUAACGGCGAGUGAAGCAGCAAUAGCUCAAAUUUGAAAUCUGGCGUCUUCGACGUCCGAGUUGUAAUUUGUAGAGGAUGCUUCUGAGUAACCACCGACCUAAGUUCCUUGGAACAGGACGUCAUAGAGGGUGAGAAUCCCGUAUGCGGUCGGAAAGGUGCUCUAUACGUAGCUCCUUCGACGAGUCGAGUUGUUUGGGAAUGCAGCUCUAAAUGGGAGGUAAAUUUCUUCUAAAGCUAAAUAUUGGCCAGAGACCGAUAGCGCACAAGUAGAGUGAUCGAAAGAUGAAAAGCACUUUGGAAAGAGAGUUAAAAAGCACGUGAAAUUGUUAAAAGGGAAGGGAUUGCAACCAGACUUGCUCGCGGUGUUCCGCCGGUCUUCUGACCGGUCUACUCGCCGCGUUGCAGGCCAGCAUCGUCUGGUGCCGCUGGAUAAGACUUGAGGAAUGUAGCUCCCUCGGGAGUGUUAUAGCCUCUUGUGAUGCAGCGAGCGCCGGGCGAGGUCCGCGCUUCGGCUAGGAUGCUGGCGUAAUGGUCGUAAUCCGCCCGUCUUGAAACACGGGACCA